This 97-nucleotide long non-coding RNA is filed under the name Monodelphis domestica (gray short-tailed opossum). Its description in RNAcentral is "lncRNA (ENSMODG00000048158.1)". The record is from RNAcentral. Lineage: Eukaryota; Metazoa; Chordata; Mammalia; Didelphimorphia; Didelphidae.
UAAAUCUCCAGAUGAACUUGGAGUCAAAAAGACACACAAAAUGAAACUACACAUAUUUGUAAGAUGCUUGCAUUCUACUGAGAAAGACAACAAAUAU